Long non-coding RNA from Monodelphis domestica (gray short-tailed opossum), 372 nucleotides. RefSeq lists it as uncharacterized. The record is from RefSeq and is a predicted model, not a curated record. Lineage: Eukaryota; Metazoa; Chordata; Mammalia; Didelphimorphia; Didelphidae.
UGUGACUUGUAUCCAUGUCCUUCCCUAAAUUCAUCACAGGGAGGUCUGCUCAUAGGCUUCCUCUCUUCCUCCUAGCAUCUCAAGGAUACUAAGAAGCAGUCAACCUGUCCAUCUGUCAUUCCUGCUCUUGCUAGGUUAAGAAACAGCCACAGAGAGGAAGGGAGGCUCAACAUGGAAUGCUCUGGAUUAUUCCAGUCUGGUGAAGAUGAAGAUACCAAAACCCAAAACAAAUAGCCUUCCAUCUGGGAGGUGCUACUAGCCCCAUGCCCUAGCCCUCAACUCAGCUCACUGGCCAAUUAUAAAGUGCCUCUUAAAUGACAGGGCAUGGGGUUGAGCGCAGGGUUGGAAAUGAUAGAAAACAGACCUUCUUGA